GAUGAACGCUGGCGGCGUGCCUAAUACAUGCAAGUCGAGCGAACGGACGAGAAGCUUGCUUUUCUGAUGUUAGCGGCGGACGGGUGAGUAACACGUGGAUAACCUACCUAUAAGACUGGGAUAACUUCGGGAAACCGGAGCUAAUACCGGAUAAUAUUUUGAACCGCAUGGUUCAAAAGUGAAAGACGGUCUUGCUGUCACUUAUAGAUGGAUCCGCGCUGCAUUAGCUAGUUGGUAAGGUAACGGCUUACCAAGGCAACGAUGCAUAGCCGACCUGAGAGGGUGAUCGGCCACACUGGAACUGAGACACGGUCCAGACUCCUACGGGAGGCAGCAGUAGGGAAUCUUCCGCAAUGGGCGAAAGCCUGACGGAGCAACGCCGCGUGAGUGAUGAAGGUCUUCGGAUCGUAAACUCUGUUAUUAGGGAAGAACAUAUGUGUAAGUAACUGUGCACAUCUUGACGGUACCUAAUCAGAAAGCCACGGCUAACUACGUG
This 496-nucleotide ribosomal RNA is filed under the name uncultured bacterium. Its description in RNAcentral is "partial 16S ribosomal RNA". It matches the Rfam family "Bacterial small subunit ribosomal RNA", at positions 28 to 507 of the family's 1533-position model. The record is from RNAcentral.